Molecule: transfer RNA, 77 nt
Filed under: Fidelibacterota bacterium
Lineage: Bacteria; Pseudomonadati; Fidelibacterota
Description: tRNA-Asn
Rfam family: tRNA
About the family: Transfer RNA (tRNA) molecules are approximately 80 nucleotides in length. Their secondary structure includes four short double-helical elements and three loops (D, anti-codon, and T loops).
Source: RNAcentral
UCCGGUAUAGCUCAGUUGGUUAGAGCAGCGGACUGUUAAUCCGCGUGUCGCUAGUUCGAGUCUAGCUACCGGAGCAA